AUCGCUGAAGGAUGGCCUCGCGUCUGAUUAGCUAGUUGGUGGGGUAACGGCUCACCAAGGCGAUGAUCAGUAGCCGGACUGAGAGGUUGAUCGGCCACAUUGGGACUGAGACACGGCCCAAACUCCUACGGGAGGCAGCAGUGGGGGAUAUUGCACAAUGGAGGAAACUCUGAUGCAGCGACCCCGCGUGAGGGAAGAAGGUUUUCGGAUUGUAAACCUCUGUCUUCGGGGACGAAACAAAUGACGGUACUCGAGGAGGAAGCCACGGCUAACUACGUGCCAGCAGCCGCGGUAAUACGUAGGUGGCAAGCGUUGUCCGGAAUUACUGGGUGUAAAGGGAGCGCAGGCGGAACUGCAAGUUGGGUGUUUAAUCUACGGGCUCAACCCGUAUCAGCAUUCAAAACUGUGGUUCUUGAGUAAUGCAGAGGUAGGCGGAAUUCCCGGUGUAGCGGUGGAAUGCGUAGAUAUCGGGAGGAACACCAGUGGCGAAGGCGGCCUACUGGGCAUCAACUGACGCUGAGGCUCGAAAGCAUGGGUAGCAAACAGGAUUAGAUACCCUGGUAGUCCAUGCUGUAAACGAUGAUUACUAGGUGUGGGAAGAUUGACCCUUUCCGUGCCGCAGUUAACACAAUAAGUAAUCCACCUGGGGAGUACGACCGCAAGGUUGAAACUCAAAGGAAUUGACGGGGGCCCGCACAAGCAGUGGAGUAUGUGGUUUAAUUCGAAGCAACGCGAAGAACCUUACCAGGUCUUGACAUCCAACGACCGCCUAAGAGAUUAGGCUUUCCUUCGGGACGUUGAGACAGGUGGUGCAUGGUUGUCGUCAGCUCGUGUCGUGAGAUGUUGGGUUAAGUCCCGCAACGAGCGCAACCCUUGUCAUCAGUUGCUACGCAAGAGCAC
RNAcentral lists this ribosomal RNA (900 nucleotides) under uncultured bacterium. RNAcentral's name for it is "bacterial SSU rRNA". It matches the Rfam family "Bacterial small subunit ribosomal RNA", at positions 214 to 1138 of the family's 1533-position model. The record is from RNAcentral.